RNAcentral lists this ribosomal RNA (146 nucleotides) under Staphylococcus pseudintermedius. Its description in RNAcentral is "partial 23S ribosomal RNA". It matches the Rfam family "Bacterial large subunit ribosomal RNA", at positions 2778 to 2925 of the family's 2925-position model. The record is from RNAcentral. Lineage: Bacteria; Bacillati; Bacillota; Bacilli; Caryophanales; Staphylococcaceae.
CAUCUAAGCAUGAAGCCCCCCUCGAGAUGAGAUUUCCCAACUUCGGUUAUAAGAUCCCUCAAAGAUGAUGAGGUGAAUAGGUUCGAGGUGGAAGCGUAGCGAUACGUGGAGCUGACGAAUACUAAUCGAUCGAAGACUUAAUCAAU